AAAAAUAUUCUCUGCUCCAUGAUGUAAAUAGCCGCAGUAUUUUGACUGUGAUAAGGUAGCAUAGUAAUUUGUCUUAUAAUUGAAGGCUGGUAUAAACGAGGGGUCGACUUCACGUCUUUCUUAGGGUGUCACCAGAAGCUAAUAUUUGCGUGAAAAAGCGCAACUACCCAAAAAGACGAUAAGACCCCGUAAAGCUUUAUCAAAAUCACUGUGUCAAAUUUAGGAUGUACUGACGGGGAAUAUUGAUUAAAGCUGGGGCGGCAAACAAUUUGCUUUGUUAAUUAGAACACUUUGUGUGAAAAUUAAGAUCUUUUUUAGAUAUAGAAUAAGUUACUUCGGGGAUAACAGCACAAUUUUUCUUUAUAGAUCGCAUAGAAGGAAAAGACUUGUGACCUCGAUGUUGAAUUGGAGAGCCUUGCUUGAGUAGAAAUAAGCAGAGGGGGUCUGUUCUAUCUUUAAUUCUUC
Molecule: ribosomal RNA, 465 nt
Filed under: Parvochelus sp. VTDes060
Lineage: Eukaryota; Metazoa; Arthropoda; Malacostraca; Isopoda; Desmosomatidae
Description: partial 16S ribosomal RNA
Rfam family: Archaeal large subunit ribosomal RNA
Source: RNAcentral